GACGAACGCUGGCGGCGUGCUUAACACAUGCAAGUCGAACGGAAAGGCCUGCUUUCCCUUGUGGAUUGCGGGUACUCGAGUGGCGAACGGGUGAGUAACACGUGAGUGAUCUGUCCCCAACUUGGGAAUAAGCCUGGGAAACUGGGUCUAAUUCCCGAUAGGACUGGAGGGUGGUGCCUGUGGUGGGAAACGAUUUUCUAGUGGUUGGGGAUGAGCUAGCGGCCUAUCAGCUUGGUGGUGGGGUAAUGGGCUACCAAGGCGGCGACGGGUAGCCGGCCUGAGAGCGUGGACAGCCGCAUUGGGACUGAGAUACGGCCCAGACUCCUACGGGAAGCAGCAGUUGGGAGUAUUGCACCGUGAGCGGGAGCCUGAUGCAGCGACGCCGCGUGGGGGAUGACGGCCUUCGGGUUGUAAACUCCUUUCGACCGAGAGGAAGCCACCUGGUUGGAAGGGUGGUGACGGUAGUGGUAGAAGAAGCACCGGCUAACUACGUG
Molecule: ribosomal RNA, 494 nt
Filed under: uncultured bacterium
Lineage: Bacteria
Description: partial 16S ribosomal RNA
Rfam family: Bacterial small subunit ribosomal RNA
Source: RNAcentral